AUGUGACCGUGCCUCUCACCCUUCCAUAUCUAGUCUCUGAGAAAAAUGAAGACUGGAUUCCAUGAAGGGAUGUGAGGCCUGGAAACUGGAGCUUUA
Rattus norvegicus (Norway rat) is the source of this 96-nucleotide microRNA precursor. NCBI's taxonomy places the organism in Eukaryota, Metazoa, Chordata, Mammalia, Rodentia, Muridae. The record is from Ensembl.